Molecule: long non-coding RNA, 1010 nt
Organism: Triticum aestivum (bread wheat)
Lineage: Eukaryota; Viridiplantae; Streptophyta; Magnoliopsida; Poales; Poaceae
Exons: 4
Source: RefSeq, a predicted model, not a curated record
GGCCGCCAGGAAACAAAUGCGCGAGGCCGCAAGCGGAUCCAGCGGGUUGCGACGUUCAGACGGCCUGCCAGGAACAAGAUGGUUGGCUUGUUGCUUCUGAUCUGAUUGCUCCAGGACUCCUUUUGUUUUUCUGCCACAAAGUUCCUUCCACCUAUGAUAUGUGUAUCAAGCAGUCGAUCACACCAGUUCACCAAUCAGCCCUAUUUGCUUCACCGGCCGGAUCUCCUAGAGAGGAACUAUGGAUAAAUUUUAUCAAGAGUAAUAGGGGCACUUCGACGAGUUGGCAGUAAUUCCCGUGGACGAACCAACUACUGAUGUUAAGAAUCAAGAUCCAUAUGAGCUUGGUUACGCACUAAAUUAUUCUGGAGGAUCUCAGGUAAUCGUUGCAGUUGAAGAUUACGCCCCUGGUCAUGAUUCUCAUUUUCAAACUUGCCAUUCAUCAUAGGUUUUGGAUGGAGUGUAUUCAUGCAUUAUAUUGGAGCAGGGACCUGCGGAGGAGGGGGAUACCAUGGGGAGGCGAACCUGGUAAAGUAGGGGUGGAAAGUAGACUAUAGGUAUGUUAUCCGUGGCAAGGACUUGGUGGAUUGUUUACCAUUUAGUUGUGUUCAACACCGAAAAAUGGUAAUAUCAUUUUUUGUCCUUUGCAAAUUAAAUUAUUAAUCCAUAACAUUAUUUUUAUAUAUGGGCUUCUAUUAGCGCAACUGGAUUGAUGUAGCGGAGAAUUACCUUCAAAAUGAUUAAACGAAUGCGAAGAUUGGCCUUCUUGAAUUUUGACCACGUCUAAUAACACUUCUAAAUUAUGUCUAAUCUCCAUGUAGUUUGGUCCGGUUAUUUCAUCAACUAGCCCACUACUAUGUGCUGGAAGUUAUAUUGUUACUUAAUACAGGCUACCCAUUCUAAACAUCUUUUUGACUGUGUUGUCAGAUUGAUUUAUCCAAUGGAACCUCACAUUAAUAAUAAAUUCCUUACAAUAACAAUGUGCUUUAUUUUAAAAUGGUUGAAUAUAAUUA